This 239-nucleotide non-coding RNA is filed under the name Lactobacillus kalixensis. Its description in RNAcentral is "T-box sequence". It matches the Rfam family "T-box leader". From Rfam's summary of the family: Uncharged tRNA acts as the effector for transcription antitermination of genes in the T-box leader family. T-boxes are found upstream of many aminoacyl-tRNA synthetase genes and some amino acid biosynthetic genes usually in Gram-positive bacteria. The record is from RNAcentral. Lineage: Bacteria; Bacillati; Bacillota; Bacilli; Lactobacillales; Lactobacillaceae.
AAAAAGAUCUCGACGAGUAGAGUAAUCGAUUGUAGUUUAUUACAGAGAGUCGCUGAAUGGUGAGAGGCGAUUGGACAAGAUUGAUGAACAUGGACUCAGAAUGAUCAAUACUGGUGAUAUUUAGUCAGUGUCGGUUUUGCAGCCGUUAUCUCUGCAAACUAUUGUCAGAUAGUUAGCGAGACUAUUGCGCGCAAGCGGGUAGUAAAUAAAGGUGGUAUCACGAAGCAUUCGUCCUUUAA